CAGCUUCAUAUAUGUUUAAGACAAGGAUAAUGUGGAUGGUCACUGCAGUGCCCUUUUUGUGGGCUGGGAUUUCUGUUGCCCAUGCUUUUUCCAAAGGAAACUUUUCCUGACUGCACCAUUCAUGUGUUGGAGGAUGUGGAGCUGUUUGUGCCUGAGAGCCUGAGCAGAGCUCAAAUGAGAAUUCUAAAGGCAACACAAGCCCCCAGGACAUUGUUUUCCAGUCUGUGAGCAGAAGCUUUUGACUGCUGCAGAAGUUCCCCUCUGUCUCAUCUGAAGCUGCUGUAAAGCAUUUGCCAGCCAAUGCCCUGAUGUUCCCCCACCCAAAGAGAAUUAAUGGCUGAGCUGGAAUGAAGAGCACAGCACAGAGAGCAGGCAUGGCCCAGACCUCACAGCACUAAUUAUGCCCUUAAAGGGACUGAAUUGCUAAUUUUGGACAGUCACGGGAGCUGCUCUGGAAAUGCUUGCUAGAGCAAAUGCAAAUAUAUCAUUACAACACUGAAUUAAGGGUCAAGGAAAAUACUGUUGCUAAGAAGCUGGACACACUGAAGAUAUUCAAGACUGAUGGACCAGAACCUCUUGCAUCCAUACCUGUGACAAAUGGAAAAGACAAAGUUGAAGGGGGAAGCAGCUUGAACCUACUGGCUAGUCUGGGAAUGAGGAUCUGCUCGCUGCUGGUGCCAUCCC
Long non-coding RNA from Lepidothrix coronata (blue-crowned manakin), 684 nucleotides. RefSeq lists it as uncharacterized. The record is from RefSeq and is a predicted model, not a curated record. The transcript is spliced from 7 exons. Lineage: Eukaryota; Metazoa; Chordata; Aves; Passeriformes; Pipridae.